GCAAGUCGAGCGCUACCUUCGGGUGGAGCGGCGGACGGGUUAGUAACGCGUGGGAACAUACCCUUCUCUAAGGAAUAGCCACUGGAAACGGUGAGUAAUACCUUAUACGCCCUUCGGGGGAAAGAUUUAUCGGAGAAGGAUUGGCCCGCGUAAGAUUAGAUAGUUGGUGGGGUAAUGGCCUACCAAGCCGACGAUCAGUAGCUGGUUUGAGAGGAUGAUC
This 220-nucleotide ribosomal RNA is filed under the name uncultured bacterium. Its description in RNAcentral is "partial 16S ribosomal RNA". It matches the Rfam family "Bacterial small subunit ribosomal RNA", at positions 57 to 305 of the family's 1533-position model. The record is from RNAcentral.